UCCAAGGACGUCAGAUAACUGAUGGUUUGAAGGUAUAUGAUCUUUCUCCUGGUUUGUUUACAAUACUAAUGGUUAGUCACAGUUAAUUUUGUAAAUGUAGAUAUAUAAUAGAAAUUCAUACCUUGUCUUGUGUCUAUGGAUUUUAUGUAUGGAUGAAGUUUUAGGUUGGAAUGUUUUGAAUGUCAUAUCUUCAGUGAUCAGAGUAAAUGUCAUUCAAGCUUAGUUAAUGACUUAAACAUAAUUUAUGAAUGUAGCUUUAGUGUUGGAUUCUGUCCAUUUUACCAAGCCAAAGUUAUACCAAGAGAAUAGUAUUCCAUUGCCUUGUUU
Molecule: long non-coding RNA, 327 nt
Filed under: Zostera marina
Lineage: Eukaryota; Viridiplantae; Streptophyta; Magnoliopsida; Alismatales; Zosteraceae
Description: long non-coding RNA (ZMAR_LNC002912)
Source: RNAcentral